RNAcentral lists this ribosomal RNA (1049 nucleotides) under Microbacterium aurantiacum. RNAcentral's name for it is "bacterial SSU rRNA". It matches the Rfam family "Bacterial small subunit ribosomal RNA", at positions 56 to 1109 of the family's 1533-position model. Lineage: Bacteria; Bacillati; Actinomycetota; Actinomycetes; Micrococcales; Microbacteriaceae. The record is from RNAcentral.
UGCAGUCGACGGUGAAGCCAAGCUUGCUUGGUGGAUCAGUGGCGAACGGGUGAGUAACACGUGAGCAACCUGCCCUGAACUCUGGGAUAAGCGCUGGAAACGGUGUCUAAUACUGGAUAUGAGCUGCGGAGGCAUCUUCGUGGUUGGAAAGAUUUUUCGGUUUGGGAUGGGCUCGCGGCCUAUCAGCUUGUUGGUGAGGUAAUGGCUCACCAAGGCGUCGACGGGUAGCCGGCCUGAGAGGGUGACCGGCCACACUGGGACUGAGACACGGCCCAGACUCCUACGGGAGGCAGCAGUGGGGAAUAUUGCACAAUGGGCGGAAGCCUGAUGCAGCAACGCCGCGUGAGGGAUGACGGCCUUCGGGUUGUAAACCUCUUUUAGCAGGGAAGAAGCGUGAGUGACGGUACCUGCAGAAAAAGCGCCGGCUAACUACGUGCCAGCAGCCGCGGUAAUACGUAGGGCGCAAGCGUUAUCCGGAAUUAUUGGGCGUAAAGAGCUCGUAGGCGGUUUGUCGCGUCUGCUGUGAAAUCUGGGGGCUCAACCCCCAGCCUGCAGUGGGUACGGGCAGACUAGAGUGCGGUAGGGGAGAUUGGAAUUCCUGGUGUAGCGGUGGAAUGCGCAGAUAUCAGGAGGAACACCGAUGGCGAAGGCAGAUCUCUGGGCCGUAACUGACGCUGAGGAGCGAAAGGGUGGGGAGCAAACAGGCUUAGAUACCCUGGUAGUCCACCCCGUAAACGUUGGGAACUAGUUGUGGGGUCCAUUCCACGGAUUCCGUGACGCAGCUAACGCAUUAAGUUCCCCGCCUGGGGAGUACGGCCGCAAGGCUAAAACUCAAAGGAAUUGACGGGGACCCGCACAAGCGGCGGAGCAUGCGGAUUAAUUCGAUGCAACGCGAAGAACCUUACCAAGGCUUGACAUACACGAGAACGCUGCAGAAAAUGUAGAACUCUUUUGGACACUCGUGAAACAGGUGGGUGCAUGGGUUGUCCGUCAGCUCCGUGUCGUGAGGAUGUUGGGGUUAAGUCCCCGCACCGAGCGCAACCCUUCGU